GAAGAAGAAGAAGAAGAAGACUAUUUAAGACAAAUUACAUGCCAUAAAAUGAUAUAUCCAGAAGGCCAUCGUAGCCAAAUUUCUAAGAGAUGGGACAAGGUGACUCGAUUUUGAUUUCGAGCACCAACUUUUCAAAGUUCUCAAAGAAAAAGACAAUCUUAUACCUAGGGCUAUUACUAAAAGCCAUUUUUAUUAGGAUAAAGUAAGCAAAGAAUGCCUAAUUUAUUAACUAAACAAGGAUUUGAAGCAUUAGGUCAAUGUACAUUACAAAUCACUAGAGAUGUUUGAUAAAGAAUAUGAAGAAAAUAUGAUGCUCUUCUUGGCAUUGACAAUUGUACAUUUUUGUAGCACAUUUUUCUUUGCUAGAUUAAAGGAUGAAGUUGACUUUUGGAACUUGGACAAUUUAAAAAGCAAUAAAGUGCAGAAUUUAGUCGAGGAAAUUAAUUCCUUGGCUCGGGCAACUUCCAUACACUGAUACACAUACUUGUUAUGCAAGAUUUUUGAAGUGCAACAAAUAAUUAUUUCAUUACAUAGCAUACAAGAUUGAAUUGAAUUUUAAAGGCGAGUAGAUUUUCCAAUCAAUCCAUUCAUGACCUUUAAUUUGUUUCAAAAAAUAUAAUUUCAAACUUCAUAAACUUUGCAAAGUAUACCUUUAAUUUGUUUACUUUUUUUUGGCACAUAAAAGACAUUAUACUUGUUAACUUUGCAACUUACUAAUUUUAAAAUUGAAUGAGCUGAAUGAAGAUCUUUUAAAUCCUCUCAUUUGAAUUAUGAUUAGACAAAUAGGGUUAUAAGAGUGAAAAUAAAGAAGCAACCCUUGUAAGGUAUACAAAGCAAAAGAAAAUUAUAACUAGGGAAAUAAUUCAAGGAAACAUUAAAAAAAGUGUUGGAUCCUUGGUGAUAGUUUAAACUGUUUGAAGGAUAUGACUUCCAAAAACACAAAAAAAAUGAUUACCAAGGAAUCAAUGAAUAAGGAGAAGUUGUAACUUGCAUUAAAAAAGCAUUUAAGGGAAUGAAGUACAUAACCACCCUGAUGGCAAGGCCAAUGCUUCCCAAGAGGCCAAGACUAUAGCUUCACAUCAAUCAAUGGUCUCAAAACUAAAGGAUAUGGAGCUCUCUCUUACAAGUUGUAUGAUCACUCAAGAAGAUAGAAAUGAGAUACAAGAUUAAAAAUGCAAAUUUUCAAAGUGAAUGGGUAAGUCUUCUUGUAUCAUUUACCAAAUUAUAUCACAAUAUUUGUGUACCCAAUAUCAUUGUCACAUAACUUAUCUUAUGGAUUUACAAAGGAAAGAGAAGUUAAUUUUAUUUUAUUUCACUUGGAAAACUUGAAAAUUUAACAGGUUAAGAACAAAGAAUUAGAGUUUUCAAAGAUUUAAUCUACUAAAGGGUGACCGACCAUCACAUUCAUGUGCAAUUGUACACAAAGAUGUACGUGCGCACAUUAAGUCUAUUUCCAAACGGUCUAAUAUAUAGACUUGCCCCAAAACUAAAAUGGAAAAGUCUAUUACACCUUUGACAUGUUAUUUUGACCUAUUACAUCCUUGACUUUUUAUUUUUAACCUAUUGUACAUAUACAUUUUUAUUUUCAUAAUUAAUAAGCAAAAUUCGCUCAAAUCAUUAAUAAUUA
This 1627-nucleotide unclassified non-coding RNA is filed under the name Hevea brasiliensis (rubber tree). Lineage: Eukaryota; Viridiplantae; Streptophyta; Magnoliopsida; Malpighiales; Euphorbiaceae. The record is from RNAcentral.